GCAGGCCCUGGAGCUCUGUCAGGGCAGCAGCGUUUGGUUGUCCAUUAGCGCAAAAAAACAGUGACUUUGCAUCAGCUGUAAUUAUGUAAAUAUGAGGAAUCUGGAAGAACCUGAACCCAGCUGUGUGUCCAUGAAGAGUAACGAGUCUAUGGGUGAACCUCUAGUCUUCAAAGAUGGACGCCACUCUGAUGAUCAAACAGUGGACCAGGAGAGCUCAGAGGUUCCUAGUGGUCAGUCUGCCCAGC
Molecule: long non-coding RNA, 245 nt
Organism: Perca fluviatilis (European perch)
Lineage: Eukaryota; Metazoa; Chordata; Actinopteri; Perciformes; Percidae
Exons: 3
Source: RefSeq, a predicted model, not a curated record